This 224-nucleotide long non-coding RNA is filed under the name Nicotiana benthamiana. RNAcentral describes it as "long non-coding RNA (NBEN_LNC013631)". The record is from RNAcentral. Lineage: Eukaryota; Viridiplantae; Streptophyta; Magnoliopsida; Solanales; Solanaceae.
UUGCAGGUUUUUUCCUCUUUGCGCCAACUUGAAUAUUAGUUUCUUUUGAAGCUUCGUCAACUUGAACUGCUUUCAACUUGUCAUUUUGUAUUUUACUUCUUCUUUCAUCAACUUUGGAUGCCGAUACACUUGCAAAAUAUUUCUCCACUUGAGUCUGUUGCAACGAGAAAGAGGGCCCAUAAAAAUUGAGAAUUUUGGUGGGUGUACCUCUGGGUGGUCUGUGG